This 838-nucleotide ribosomal RNA is filed under the name Citrobacter koseri. RNAcentral describes it as "partial 23S ribosomal RNA". It matches the Rfam family "Bacterial large subunit ribosomal RNA", at positions 399 to 1238 of the family's 2925-position model. The record is from RNAcentral. Lineage: Bacteria; Pseudomonadati; Pseudomonadota; Gammaproteobacteria; Enterobacterales; Enterobacteriaceae.
GUGAGCUCGAUGAGUAGGGCGGGACACGUGGUAUCCUGUCUGAAUAUGGGGGGACCAUCCUCCAAGGCUAAAUACUCCUGACUGACCGAUAGUGAACCAGUACCGUGAGGGAAAGGCGAAAAGAACCCCGGCGAGGGGAGUGAAAAAGAACCUGAAACCGUGUACGUACAAGCAGUGGGAGCCUCUUUAUGGGGUGACUGCGUACCUUUUGUAUAAUGGGUCAGCGACUUAUAUUCUGUAGCAAGGUUAACCGUAUAGGGGAGCCGAAGGGAAACCGAGUCUUAACUGGGCGUUAAGUUGCAGGGUAUAGACCCGAAACCCGGUGAUCUAGCCAUGGGCAGGUUGAAGGUUGGGUAACACUAACUGGAGGACCGAACCGACUAAUGUUGAAAAAUUAGCGGAUGACCUGUGGCUGGGGGUGAAAGGCCAAUCAAACCGGGAGAUAGCUGGUUCUCCCCGAAAGCUAUUUAGGUAGCGCCUCGUGAAUUCAUCUCCGGGGGUAGAGCACUGUUUCGGCUAGGGGGCCAUCCCGGCUUACCAACCCGAUGCAAACUGCGAAUACCGGAGAAUGUUAUCACGGGAGACACACGGCGGGUGCUAACGUCCGUCGUGAAGAGGGAAACAACCCAGACCGCCAGCUAAGGUCCCAAAGUCAUGGUUAAGUGGGAAACGAUGUGGGAAGGCCCAGACAGCCAGGAUGUUGGCUUAGAAGCAGCCAUCAUUUAAAGAAAGCGUAAUAGCUCACUGGUCGAGUCGGCCUGCGCGGAAGAUGUAACGGGGCUAAACCAUGCACCGAAGCUGCGGCAGCGACGCUUAUGCGUUGUUGGGUAGGGGAGCG